RNAcentral lists this ribosomal RNA (910 nucleotides) under uncultured bacterium. RNAcentral describes it as "bacterial SSU rRNA". It matches the Rfam family "Bacterial small subunit ribosomal RNA", at positions 1 to 902 of the family's 1533-position model. The record is from RNAcentral.
GGAUCCAGACUUUGAUCCUGGCUCAGGAUGAACGCUAGCUACAGGCUUAACACAUGCAAGUCGAGGGGAAACGAUAUUGGAAGCUUGCUUCCGAUAGGCGUCGACCGGCGCACGGGUGAGUAACGCGUAUCCAACCUGCCCACCACUUGGGGAUAACCUUGCGAAAGUAAGACUAAUACCCAAUGAUAUCUCUAGAAGACAUCUGAAAGAGAUUAAAGAUUUAUCGGUGAUGGAUGGGGAUGCGUCUGAUUAGUUUGUUGGCGGGGUAACGGCCCACCAAGGCGACGAUCAGUAGGGGUUCUGAGAGGAAGGUCCCCCACAUUGGAACUGAGACACGGUCCAAACUCCUACGGGAGGCAGCAGUGAGGAAUAUUGGUCAAUGGGCGAGAGCCUGAACCAGCCAAGUAGCGUGCAGGAUGACGGCCCUAUGGGUUGUAAACUGCUUUUAUAAGGGAAUAAAGUGAGUCUCGUGAGACUUUUUGCAUGUACCUUAUGAAUAAGGACCGGCUAAUUCCGUGCCAGCAGCCGCGGUAAUACGGAAGGUCCGGGCGUUAUCCGGAUUUAUUGGGUUUAAAGGGAGCGUAGGCCGGAGAUUAAGCGUGUUGUGAAAUGUAGACGCUCAACGUCUGCACUGCAGCGCGAACUGGUUUCCUUGAGUACGCACAAAGUGGGCGGAAUUCGUGGUGUAGCGGUGAAAUGCUUAGAUAUCACGAAGAACUCCGAUUGCGAAGGCAGCUCACUGGAGCGCAACUGACGCUGAAGCUCGAAAGUGCGGGUAUCGAACAGGAUUAGAUACCCUGGUAGUCCGCACGGUAAACGAUGGACGCCCGCUGUUGGUCUGAAUAGGUCAGCGGCCAAGCGAUAGCAUUAAGCAUCCCACCUGGGGAGUACGCCGGCAACGGUGCAACUC